UCCACCCCUCGAGCUUUGGCUUGUUAUUGGACCUUCGUCAAUAAUUUUAAAGACGGGUCUCAAAGAUAAUGACAGAGUUUUUGAACUCUUGAUGCAACGAGCUUUUUUAAGCACGCAUUAUAGUAAUCAACAAACUCUUUGUCUUUAACCUCUUUUAUUCAUAA
RNAcentral lists this unclassified non-coding RNA (164 nucleotides) under uncultured Eurotiomycetes. RNAcentral describes it as "sequence contains ITS2". Lineage: Eukaryota; Fungi; Ascomycota; Eurotiomycetes. The record is from RNAcentral.